CAUACAUUGCUCUUGUUUUCGUUGUGCAGGGCCCAGAGUGCUGCCGAUAUGGGGGAACAACUUCUAAUGUCAUAGAAGGUUCUGGAUGGUGCGAUAGAUGGCUGCUGCCAAAAAAGGUACAAAGCCAAAAGUGGCUGGCGUCCGCUUUGCUACCGGAUUACCAGAGGAGGGCGCUCACAAUCAUGUCCACUUU
Long non-coding RNA from Rana temporaria (common frog), 193 nucleotides. RefSeq lists it as uncharacterized. The record is from RefSeq and is a predicted model, not a curated record. The transcript has 2 exons. Lineage: Eukaryota; Metazoa; Chordata; Amphibia; Anura; Ranidae.